UACAGGAUGCUGUUUUGUCACGUAUUUCACGCGUAAGGCUGCGUUGGACGCUCAGAAUGCUUUACACAACAUCAAAACGUUACCAGGAAUGCACCAUCCAAUUCAAAUGAAACCGGCUGACAGCGAAAAUCGAAGUG
Molecule: long non-coding RNA, 137 nt
Organism: Daktulosphaira vitifoliae (grape phylloxera)
Lineage: Eukaryota; Metazoa; Arthropoda; Insecta; Hemiptera; Phylloxeridae
Exons: 2
Source: RefSeq, a predicted model, not a curated record